CCCCUCCACAGGCCAAGAUCCUCAGGUUCGGCACUUUAGCGAACAGCUCCAGUCUGUGAGAAACACAAAACAACAACAACAACAGCUUUUGUGAAAAACCCCAGAGGUCCUCAAAGAUCCUCCAUCGAUCCUCGUCCACACAAACAGAAAGCAGGAAACCUCAUCGUCACAACGAGAGUCGGGUGCAUCCGGGGCAUCAGUGAGGCGGAUCUUACCCCUCUCUGGGUCCACCCUUGGUCAGGUCAAACACCUGACGAGGGUUCAGGUACCACAUGAAGGACUGGAUGAUCUUCGCUCCCUGGAAAAAAAAGAAAAGAAACACAGAGAUUAUUUUCUAAUUCUACGAUCUCCCUGAAGUGGAACACGAGUCUGAUCUCACUGGAUUUCUACAUUAACGUAUGAGUAAGACCACCUGGUUCCCGCCGCUCUUCGGGUUUACAAAGACCAGCAGAGGCUUCAUGAGCGGAGAGGGCACGGGCUUCAGCAGGAAGGGCUUCCAGCGGCUGUCUUGGAGCUGAGAAGUGCCUCACCAGAGACUUGGCGAUGCAGUACUGCUCGCCCACGUAGCAGAAGUCUCCGGAGCCGCUGGUCUCAAACCAGAUGUGCUCACCGAACUGGGCAUUUUCCUGCACCACACAAGAACAAGCGCACGUCAUCAUUCAUCAGACAGUUUGACAUGAGGUCACAUGACCCUCGGAUCAGAGACGGAGUGACGUCUCGCAGCUUACUGUGCCGUCCAUAACCAGGCAACCUGACGCACAGACCUGACCUGAUUAUCAAGAGGUGAACAGUAACCAGUGCCUCGUUCCCAGGCUGUGAUGUGUGACGGGCAACAAACAAACCAAAAACCCAAGAACCUGGACUCUCUGGAUCUGUCUAACCCAGGACCAGGACCAAGAUCAGGACCAGGUUCAGAGUUUCAUCCCUGAUUGUUCCCGCUGAAUUCUGAGCUCUUUUGUUGUUUCUCUGUCUCUGUCUCUCUCUCUGUCUCUCUCUCUGUCUUGAACACAUAUGAAUGAAGCCGCCGACCCACUCCACCAUCCCAGAAUACUCUUCAUUAACACUUCAAGGCUCUGGGUCUACUGCAUUAUGGAUCCAAUUUAAAAAUAAAUAAAUUAAU
Solea senegalensis (Senegalese sole) is the source of this 1120-nucleotide long non-coding RNA. RefSeq lists it as uncharacterized. The record is from RefSeq and is a predicted model, not a curated record. The transcript has 6 exons. NCBI's taxonomy places the organism in Eukaryota, Metazoa, Chordata, Actinopteri, Pleuronectiformes, Soleidae.